RNAcentral lists this ribosomal RNA (590 nucleotides) under uncultured Hyphomicrobiales bacterium. RNAcentral's name for it is "bacterial SSU rRNA". It matches the Rfam family "Bacterial small subunit ribosomal RNA", at positions 94 to 719 of the family's 1533-position model. Lineage: Bacteria; Pseudomonadati; Pseudomonadota; Alphaproteobacteria; Hyphomicrobiales. The record is from RNAcentral.
AGUGGCAGACGGGUGAGUAAUGUAUAGGAAUCUACCUAGUAGUACGGAAUAAUUGUUGGAAACGGCAACUAAUACCGUAUACGCCCUACGGGGGAAAAAUUUAUUGCUAUUAGAUGAGCCUAUAUUAGAUUAGUUAGUUGGUGAGGUAAAGGCUUACCAAGACAAUGAUCUAUAGCUGAUCUGAGAGGAUGAUCAGCCACACUGGAACUGAGAUACGGUCCAGACUCCUACGGGAGGCAGCAGUGGGGAAUAUUGGACAAUGGGCGAAAGCCUGAUCCAGCCAUGCCGCAUGAGUGAAGAAGGCCUUCGGGUUGUAAAGCUCUUUUAGUGAGGAAGAUAAUGACGGUACUCACAGAAGAAGUCCUGGCUAACUCCGUGCCAGCAGCCGCGGUAAUACGGAGAGGGCUAGCGUUAUUCGGAAUCAUUGGGCGUAAAGGGCGCGUAGGCGGGUUAGUAAGUUAAAAGUGAAAUCCCAAGGCUCAACCUUGGAACUGCUUUUAAAACUGCUAGUCUAGAGAUUGAAAGAGGAUAGAGGAAUUCCUAGUGUAGAGAUGAAAUUCGUAAAUAUUANGAGGAACACCAGUGGCGAA